CCGAGUUAGGGUCUUCAGGCCCGACCUCCAACCCUUUGUUAACUAUACCAUGUUGCUUUGGUGGGCCCGCCUUUAGGGGCCGCCGGGGACUUUCAUGCCCCUGGUCAGUGCCCGCCAGUAGCCUUCUCAAAUUCUAUUGUAAUUAUGUCGUCUGAGUUUAGAUAUAAAUCGUUA
RNAcentral lists this unclassified non-coding RNA (174 nucleotides) under uncultured Herpotrichiellaceae. Its description in RNAcentral is "sequence contains ITS1". The record is from RNAcentral. Lineage: Eukaryota; Fungi; Ascomycota; Eurotiomycetes; Chaetothyriales; Herpotrichiellaceae.